Molecule: long non-coding RNA, 1134 nt
Filed under: Carassius auratus (goldfish)
Lineage: Eukaryota; Metazoa; Chordata; Actinopteri; Cypriniformes; Cyprinidae
Description: lncRNA (ENSCARG00000063709.1)
Source: RNAcentral
AUGCAGUGGACACCAUUGAAAAUGAAGUUGCAGGUCUGGGCGAUGUGCAGCCUCACAGUACCACCUGUGAGUCCUCUUUAUGUUUGGUUUAUUGUCCCAUUUUACUUUAAUUUCUGUUCCUCUUUUUCACUUGGUCAGACAUAUUUCUAAACCUUUACAUGCAUCGCAUAUUAAAACAUUCCAUCUUUAAUAUUUCAUCAAGCAUGAACAGGUUGAUUGUUCUGACUGUUUUGUUUUUGAUUUGGCUCUUGAUUAUUUGUUUCCAUCUCAUAACUCAUUAAAACGCUCCCCCUGAAACAUUUUCCAUUUUAUGUCUCUACACAGCAAGCCCACACCUCCACUGUGAGGAUGAGAUAUGCAUGGAAUUCAUCAAAGAGUAUUUUUUGAAUUGUAAGACUUUAUAUCUUCAUUAACUCUACUAAACUAGAGAUCUUGUCUAUUUCAAUAUCAAGGUCCCAUGACAGUUGUAUUUUCUACUCGAAACAAAUUCAAGAAAGCAAUUCACAGAAAGUGAAGUUUGAAAUAAGUGUGUAUAAUAACUGAAUAAAUAAGCUUUCCAUUAAAGUAAGUUUUAUCAGGAUAAUACAAUAUUUUACAAUAUUUGGCCAAGAUACAACUACAUGUAUUUGAAAAUCUGGAAUAUGAGGGUGCAAAAAAUAAUAAUAAUAUUGAGAAAAUCACCUUUAAAGUUGUCCAUAUGAAGUUCUUGUUUGUCACUAAACAGAAAUUAGGUUUGGAUAUAUUUACGGUAGAAAAUUUACAAAAUAUCUUCAUGGAACAUGAUCUUUGCUUAAUAUCCUAAUUUUUUUUGGGCAUUAAAGAAAAAUCUAUAAUUUUGACCCAUAAUAAUGUAUAAUAAUAAUAAUGUCUAUUGCUACAAAUAUACUUUGCUACUUAUGAUAGAUUUUGUGGUCCUGGAUCACAAAUAAUAAUAAUAAUAAUAAAUAAAAAUAGCUAAUAAUAAUAAAUAAAUAAAUAAAAAUAGCUAAUAAUAAUAAUAAUACAAUAAUAAUAGUUAAAUAAAAUUCAAUAAAGAUAUAGUAUUAAAAAAACAACAACAACACAAGUACAAGUUAAGCAGAAAAAACUUUUCAACAUUGAUGUUUCUUGAGCACUAAAUCUGCAUAUUAGAAU